GUUCUGUGUUGAUACAGCAUGCUGCCUUCCUACUGAUGU
RNAcentral lists this small RNA (39 nucleotides) under Bombyx mori (domestic silkworm). RNAcentral describes it as "ovarian small RNA-17979". The record is from RNAcentral. Lineage: Eukaryota; Metazoa; Arthropoda; Insecta; Lepidoptera; Bombycidae.